CGCAUCUGUGCAUGCAGCAUAUCAAUAAGCGGAGGAAAAGAAACUAACAAGGAUUCCCUUAGUAACGGCGAGUGUAGCGGGAAGAGCUCAAAUUUGAAAUCUUCAAGGUUUUACCUUGACGAAUUGUAGUUUAAAGAAGUGUUUUCUGUUGAAGUUUUGGUAAAAGUUCUUUGGAAUAGGACAUCAUAGAGGGUGAGAAUCCCGUAUAUUGACCAUUAUUUUCAGCUGUGUGAUACACUUUCAAAGAGUCGGAUUGUUUGGGAAUGCAGUCCAAAAUGGGUGGUAAAUUUCAUCUAAAGCUAAAUAUUGGCGAGAGACCGAUAGCAAACAAGUACCGUGAGGGAAAGAUGAAAAGAACUUUGAAAAGAGAGUUAAACAGUACGUGAAAUUGUCGAAAGGGAAGCGUUUGACACCAGUGUUGUUUUCUCGAAAAUCAAUUAAAAAGAGUUUGAUUUUGUUGUGUAUUGACCUUAACAGCUUGCAUUUCAAUUUUCUUGCUUUUUUUAAUGCACUUUUCGUUUAACAAGUCAACAUCAGUUUCUUUUGUUGUAAAAAGGUCAUUGGAAGGUGGCUUUCUUAUCGGAGAAAGUGUUUAUAGCCUUUGACUCCUGUAAUCGGAGAGACUGAGGUCUGCAGCGUAGAUCCUUCGGGGUUAGAUACAUUUGUGCUAAGUUAUAGCUUUUUAUAGACAACUUGUUGACUAUGAUUAGUCUUGUAGCUUACUCGCUUAUGCUAUUUUACCUACGCUUAGGAUGUUGAUGUGAUACUGCGAGCA
RNAcentral lists this ribosomal RNA (775 nucleotides) under uncultured Neocallimastigales. RNAcentral's name for it is "partial large subunit ribosomal RNA". It matches the Rfam family "Eukaryotic large subunit ribosomal RNA", at positions 26 to 629 of the family's 3401-position model. Lineage: Eukaryota; Fungi; Neocallimastigomycota; Neocallimastigomycetes; Neocallimastigales. The record is from RNAcentral.